This 293-nucleotide unclassified non-coding RNA is filed under the name Borreliella valaisiana. RNAcentral describes it as "5S-23S ribosomal RNA intergenic spacer". Lineage: Bacteria; Pseudomonadati; Spirochaetota; Spirochaetia; Spirochaetales; Borreliaceae. The record is from RNAcentral.
UUAUUCGCUGAUGGUACUGCGAGUUCGCGGGAGAGUAAGUUAUUGCCAGGGUUUUUAUUUUGUACUUUAAACCUUAAAUUUAUUUUUUAUAUUUUUUUAAUGUUCAUGUUUUUGAAUGUUUUAUUCAAAUAAUGUAAAAAAUAAAAUAGAUAUUGACAUGGAUUGAACAAAAGAUAUAUAUUAUUUUAUGUUGCAUAAACAAAUUGGCAAAAUAGAGAUGGAAGAUAAAAAUAUGGUCAAAGUAAUAAGAGUCUAUGGUGAAUGCCUAGGAGCUUUAAGGCGAAGAAGGUCGA